Molecule: long non-coding RNA, 1667 nt
Organism: Aethalodelphis obliquidens (Pacific white-sided dolphin)
Lineage: Eukaryota; Metazoa; Chordata; Mammalia; Artiodactyla; Delphinidae
Exons: 2
Source: RefSeq, a predicted model, not a curated record
UCUUCGCUGCCAGGGGAGGUGAGUGUUCGGUGAGAGAGGAGAGGUGGUAGAGGACAUUCGGAAGGUAAGGGUCAAGAUGAUGGUCAGACGAGCUGAGGUGUGGGCCUUCUGCCGGCUGGAAAGCCGAGUAGAGCGUAUGCCUUCGAACUGGGCAGUCCCAGAAGGCCUCGACCGGAGCAGCCGGGACCAUAAAGGGACUCGCAGGCGCCUGAGUGGCGACGAAGACGGCGCUGCGCAGGCGCGGUGUGACCAUCGGGCCCGCGCAGGCGCAGUCUGGCGGCGGCCCCUGAGCACGCGCGGAGUGGACGCCCGUGGUUGGCAGGCGGGUUGAACAGGCUCGUCUACUGUGUCAGGUGUGUCUCGCCCGUCUCUGUCGCCUGUCAUGCUUUCCGCAGGGGCGUUUGUGGUGUGCGGCCGCCGCCAUGUAGGAGCCUCCGCAGGGAGCCGGCCCUGCCUCUCACGCGCGCGGCUCAGGCCUGCUCUCCCCUCGGCGCGCAUCGGGGCGACGCACUCUGCCCUUCUAGCCCGCGCCGGCCGGUGACGCCAUCGGAAGGCGACCGGAAGAGCCGGCGCCGCGUGUCCGUCCGACUAUGGCUCCGCGUCACCUCCGGCCCCUCCCCUCUUCCUGUGUCCCCUCUCCGUAUCCCGUCCCUUUUUCCCUUUUCUGACUGCAAAGUGGGCCUCUUUAACCUGUUUCUGGGUCCCGUGGGGAAGAAUGAGAAGCAGAGUAGGAGGCGAGGGAGCAAGGAGCGAAGGAAGGUCCUCCCUGCAGAUUGUCUGCAAUCAGGCCACACUUUGGUUGGAGCAGGUGCACGGAUGAAUUUGUCUCUUUCAAGUAAACAGGUGUUUAAUAACGGUUUCACAUUUAUAUUUAGUAUGUUGUCAUCACUGCUAAGAGUGGAGACCUCCCUGGCCAGCAAGGGGACCGACCACCCAGGAUGACCGACCUUCCAGGGGCUCGGCCCUGGGUGCCCUGUGGGAGAGCUGGGGCCAGGCAGGCUUCUACUGGGGUCUUGCAAGGAGGGGUUGGGGAGGGUGUGUGCCUGGCCUCUGCCCUCACCUCCCUCUUCUCCCAGCCUGUCUUAGCUAAGGUCCUCCAGCUCAGAGGUUACUGUGUAGGUUUAGCCUCUCCGACUUCUUCCUGUUGUUUAGUCACUCGUUACCUCGUGCACCAAGAGGAAGGCGUCCUGGAGCUGCAUCCUUCCUGCGUGGGCCAUGGGGGCGUGAGUGCGAGGAGUGGCUCUGGCCAUUAGGAGCCCUUGAUAUCAGACUCCUUGAUAUUUACUCCGUGAAGUCCUCAAGGAUGUCCUUCUUUCCAACAUCCUGUUUGCAGCUGGAGAUGUGGGGUCAGUUUGCAAGGAAAAAGAAGUUCAGACGGCUGGUCCCUGGAGAGGCGAUUUACUGCAUAAAUGGCGAAAUCGAAGGAUGAACACUGAUGGUGGCAGUGAUGGUAAUGUGGCCAUUUGUCGGGUGUAUUGGGUAGUGGGUGAAGCAUUUGGGACACGUUUUUUUAUUAAACCCUCAUCGUAAACCUAAGCCUCACCUUCGCUAUCCUGGUUUUACCCAGGAGGAGGUUGAGUCUGGGAGCCUCAGGGCCUGAGCUGGGUUCACGCUGCGUAAGAAGAGGAGGGAGGGGUUACAGGGAGCCUGUCCUUCUCCAUUUGCUG